This 1412-nucleotide ribosomal RNA is filed under the name Pediococcus sp. IE3. RNAcentral's name for it is "bacterial SSU rRNA". It matches the Rfam family "Bacterial small subunit ribosomal RNA". Lineage: Bacteria; Bacillati; Bacillota; Bacilli; Lactobacillales; Lactobacillaceae. The record is from RNAcentral.
UAUGACGUACUUGUACUGAUUGAGAUUUUAACACGAAGUGAGUGGCGAACGGGUGAGUAACACGUGGGUAACCUGCCCAGAAGUAGGGGAUAACACCUGGAAACAGAUGCUAAUACCGUAUAACAGAGAAAACCGCAUGGUUUUCUUUUAAAAGAUGGCUCUGCUAUCACUUCUGGAUGGACCCGCGGCGUAUUAGCUAGUUGGUGAGGUAAAGGCUCACCAAGGCAGUGAUACGUAGCCGACCUGAGAGGGUAAUCGGCCACAUUGGGACUGAGACACGGCCCAGACUCCUACGGGAGGCAGCAGUAGGGAAUCUUCCACAAUGGACGCAAGUCUGAUGGAGCAACGCCGCGUGAGUGAAGAAGGGUUUCGGCUCGUAAAGCUCUGUUGUUAAAGAAGAACGUGGGUAAGAGUAACUGUUUACCCAGUGACGGUAUUUAACCAGAAAGCCACGGCUAACUACGUGCCAGCAGCCGCGGUAAUACGUAGGUGGCAAGCGUUAUCCGGAUUUAUUGGGCGUAAAGCGAGCGCAGGCGGUCUUUUAAGUCUAAUGUGAAAGCCUUCGGCUCAACCGAAGAAGUGCAUUGGAAACUGGGAGACUUGAGUGCAGAAGAGGACAGUGGAACUCCAUGUGUAGCGGUGAAAUGCGUAGAUAUAUGGAAGAACACCAGUGGCGAAGGCGGCUGUCUGGUCUGCAACUGACGCUGAGGCUCGAAAGCAUGGGUAGCGAACAGGAUUAGAUACCCUGGUAGUCCAUGCCGUAAACGAUGAUUACUAAGUGUUGGAGGGUUUCCGCCCUUCAGUGCUGCAGCUAACGCAUUAAGUAAUCCGCCUGGGGAGUACGACCGCAAGGUUGAAACUCAAAAGAAUUGACGGGGGCCCGCACAAGCGGUGGAGCAUGUGGUUUAAUUCGAAGCUACGCGAAGAACCUUACCAGGUCUUGACAUCUUCUGACAGUCUAAGAGAUUAGAGGUUCCCUUCGGGGACAGAAUGACAGGUGGUGCAUGGUUGUCGUCAGCUCGUGUCGUGAGAUGUUGGGUUAAGUCCCGCAACGAGCGCAACCCUUAUUACUAGUUGCCAGCAUUAAGUUGGGCACUCUAGUGAGACUGCCGGUGACAAACCGGAGGAAGGUGGGGACGACGUCAAAUCAUCAUGCCCCUUAUGACCUGGGCUACACACGUGCUACAAUGGAUGGUACAACGAGUCGCGAGACCGCGAGGUUAAGCUAAUCUCUUAAAACCAUUCUCAGUUCGGACUGUAGGCUGCAACUCGCCUACACGAAGUCGGAAUCGCUAGUAAUCGCGGAUCAGCAUGCCGCGGUGAAUACGUUCCCGGGCCUUGUACACACCGCCCGUCACACCAUGAGAGUUUGUAACACCCAAAGCCGGUGGGGUAACCUUUUAGGAGCUAGC